This is a long non-coding RNA of Lates calcarifer (barramundi perch), 682 nucleotides long. RefSeq lists it as uncharacterized. The transcript is spliced from 3 exons. The record is from RefSeq and is a predicted model, not a curated record. Lineage: Eukaryota; Metazoa; Chordata; Actinopteri; Centropomidae.
GGCGGGGGGGUGGGGGUGGGGGGUCCAGACCAAACCAGGACUGACACACUGAGACCCUCCACAGACCAGAGACCAGGACCGAGGCAGCUGCUGCAGGAGACGUGUGGCAAAGUAAAAACACAAACAGCUCCUGUACAGAGCGUCUGUUUGGUUCAGUGUGUCCAUUCUGGGCUCCUGUAGAAACAUGGAGGACUCUGUGGAGGAGGAGCUGCUCCUGUGCAAACUGCUUGAUGAUCAGUCUGAGGUGAUUACACUCUGAUAACAUGUUGUUGUAGAUUAGAUUCUGUAAAUGUUUCAUGCUGGAGCUUUAAGUUACAGUAUCUGAGUAAAAGUACUCAGUUACUUCUAUGAAUCACUGCCUCCCUGCUGUGUGUGUGUUUCAGGGUGUGUGGUGUGUUUCCUCCCAGGGUCGGGCAGGUCCGGGAUGCGGUGCACUGUUGUCUUACCCUCCCUCCAAUAUUGCACUCGUCCCGGCCUCCCCGGCCCAGGGGUCACGACCUCCUCCUCCUCCGGACGGAGCGAGCAGCUGGUGGAGCUCAGAGAGACAAGGUUUUUACCGUCUGAGUCUUUCUGGUUCGGGUUGACGAUGAGUCUGCAGUUGUCGUAGUCGUCGAGGACGCCGUCGUUGUCGUCGUCGUGGUCGCAGUCGUCUCCGAGGCCGUCGUUGUCGGAGUCGAGCUGG